This 558-nucleotide ribosomal RNA is filed under the name Triticum aestivum (bread wheat). Its description in RNAcentral is "partial small subunit ribosomal RNA". Lineage: Eukaryota; Viridiplantae; Streptophyta; Magnoliopsida; Poales; Poaceae. The record is from RNAcentral.
AUGGCACCUCUGAUCUUCAAAGCUUCGAGGAGGAAAAACCGAACGGUCCAUGAUGCCCUUACUGACCAUACCUGGGUAGCGGAUAUUGCGGUGGAGACCUUCACGGCAGAGCACAUUGACCAGUUCGUCCAGCUAUGGGAUCUCAUCUCAGAUAUCCAGCUCUCCCCAGAUAUAGAAGAUUCCAUCAUCUGGACCCUCUCCCCAAAUGGAUGCUACUCUGCGAGCUCCGCCUAUAAGGCGCAGUUCAUGACCGCGCUGCCUUGCUCCUUCGGCUCGAUUAUCUGGAAAACGUGGGCGCCUCCCAAAUGCCGCUUCUUCGCUUGGCUCGCCGUCCAAAAUCGCCUCUGGACCGCGGAUCGCCUGGCCAAACGUGGAUGGCCACACCAGCCCUCCUGCCAGCUAUGCCGGUGCUCCCCUGAGACGGCGAGACACAUGCUCUUUGAAUGCCGUUACUCCAAGAGGAUCUGGUCCGCGGCGGCAUCCUGACUCUCCUGCCCGGAAUUACUGCUAGCAUGGGCUCUGGUCGCCCCAAGGUGGUGGACUACUGGCAGGCCUUAG